This 69-nucleotide transfer RNA is filed under the name Pholetesor sp. SNS-2016. Its description in RNAcentral is "tRNA-Leu". The record is from RNAcentral. Lineage: Eukaryota; Metazoa; Arthropoda; Insecta; Hymenoptera; Braconidae.
AUUACUUUGGCAGAAUAAUGCCUUAAAUUUAGAAUUUAAAAAUGUAUUAAAAUUAUUAUACAAGUAAUA